AAGGACUGGAGAGGUGGAAGAGCUGCUUCAUUCAACAUCAUUCCUAGUAGCACUGGAGCUGCUAAGGCUGUUGGGAAGGUGCUGCCUGCUCUGAAUGGGAAACUUACAGGAAUGGCUUUCCGUGUUCCAACAGUUGAUGUCUCUGUGGUUGACCUCACGGUGAGGCUAGGGAAGAAAGCUUCAUAUGAUCAAAUAAAAGCUGCUAUCAAGGAGGAAUCAGAGGGAAAG
RNAcentral lists this unclassified non-coding RNA (228 nucleotides) under Hevea brasiliensis (rubber tree). Lineage: Eukaryota; Viridiplantae; Streptophyta; Magnoliopsida; Malpighiales; Euphorbiaceae. The record is from RNAcentral.